RNAcentral lists this ribosomal RNA (497 nucleotides) under uncultured bacterium. RNAcentral's name for it is "partial 16S ribosomal RNA". It matches the Rfam family "Bacterial small subunit ribosomal RNA", at positions 28 to 507 of the family's 1533-position model. The record is from RNAcentral.
GAUGAACGCUGGCGGCGUGCCUAAUACAUGCAAGUCGAGCGAACAGACGAGGAGCUUGCUCCUCUGACGUUAGCGGCGGACGGGUGAGUAACACGUGGAUAACCUACCUAUAAGACUGGGAUAACUUCGGGAAACCGGAGCUAAUACCGGAUAAUAUAUUGAACCGCAUGGUUCAAUAGUGAAAGACGGUUUUGCUGUCACUUAUAGAUGGAUCCGCGCCGCAUUAGCCAGUUGGUAAGGUAACGGCUUACCAAGGCGACGAUGCGUAGCCGACCUGAGAGGGUGAUCGGCCACACUGGAACUGGGACACGGUCCAGACUCCUACGGGAGGCAGCAGUAGGGAAUCUUCCGCAAUGGGCGAAAGCCUGACGGAGCAACGCCGCGUGAGUGAUGAAGGUCUUCGGAUCGUAAAACUCUGUUAUUAGGGAAGAACAAAUGUGUAAGUAACUAUGCACGUCUUGACGGUACCUAAUCAGAAAGCCACGGCUAACUACGUG